This 3276-nucleotide ribosomal RNA is filed under the name Triticum aestivum (bread wheat). RNAcentral's name for it is "partial small subunit ribosomal RNA". Lineage: Eukaryota; Viridiplantae; Streptophyta; Magnoliopsida; Poales; Poaceae. The record is from RNAcentral.
AUGGAGGCCAGCGCCGGGCUGGUUGCGGGCUCGCACAACCGCAACGAGCUCGUCGUCAUCCGCCGCGACGGGGAGCCAGGGGCGAGGCCGCUCAAGCAGCAGAACCGCGGGGCGUGCCAGAUUUGCGGGGACGACCUCGGGCUCGGCCCCGGCGGCGACCCCUUCGUCGCCUGCAACGAGUGCGCCUUCCCCGUCUGCCGCGACUGCUACGAGUACGAGCGCCGCGAGGGCACGCAGAACUGCCCGCAGUGCAAGACCCGCUACAAGCGCCUCAAGGGGUGCGCGCGCGUGCCCGGGGAUGAGGAGGAGGACGGCGCCGACGACCUGGAGGACGAGUUCAACUGGAGGGACAGGGACGACUCGCAGUACGCCGCCGAGUCCAUGCUCCACGCCCACAUGACCUACGGCCGCGGCGGCGACCUCGACGGCGUGCACCAGCCCUUCCAGCCCAACCCCAAUGUUCCACUCCUCACCAAUGGCCAGAUGGUCGACGACAUCCCGCCGGAGCAGCACGCCCUUGUUCCUUCCUUCGUCGGCGGCGGGGGAAAGAGGAUCCACCCGCUCCCUUAUGCUGAUUCCAACCUUCCUGUGCAACCGAGAUCCAUGGACCCAUCCAAGGAUAUUGGUUCCUACGGGUACGGUAGCGUCGCCUGGAAGGAGAGGAUGGAGAGCUGGAAGCAGAAGCAGGAGAGGCUGCAUCAGGCCAGAAAUGAUGGCGGUAAAGACUGGAACGGGGAUGGCGACGAUGCAGAUCUGCCACUCAUGGAUGAAGCUAGGCAGCCACUGUCCAGAAAGGUUCCCAUUCCUUCAAGCCUGAUUAAUCCCUACAGGAUGAUCAUUGUGAUCCGUUUGGUGAUUGUGUGUCUCUUCUUCCACUAUCGUGUUAUGCAUCCGGUGCAUGAUGCAUUUGUUUUGUGGCUCAUAUCUGUCAUAUGUGAGAUAUGGUUUGCCAUGUCUUGGAUUCUUGAUCAGUUCCCCAAGUGGUUCCCUAUUGAGAGGGAGACUUACCUUGACCGGUUGACAUUGAGGUUCGACAAGGAAGGCCAGCCAUCUCAACUCGCCCCAGUUGAUUUCUUUGUCAGUACGGUCGAUCCCGCAAAGGAGCCUCCGCUGGUCACAGCAAACACUAUCCUAUCUAUCCUGGCGGUAGAUUAUCCGGUUGACAAGCUUUCUUGCUAUGUUUCUGAUGAUGGUGCUGCCAUGCUGACAUUCGAAGGAUUGUCUGAAACAUCUGAAUUUGCAAAGAAAUGGGUUCCUUUCUGUAAGAAGUAUAGCAUUGAGCCUCGUGCUCCAGAGUGGUACUUCCAACAGAAGAUAGACUACCUGAAAGACAAGGUGGUACCAAACUUUGUUAGGGACAGGAGAGCAAUGAAGAGAGAGUAUGAGGAAUUCAAGAUCAGAAUCAAUGCCUUGGUUGCUAAAGCCCAGAAAGUUCCUGAGGAAGGAUGGACCAUGCAGGAUGGAACUCCCUGGCCUGGGAACAAUGUCCGUGAUCACCCUGGAAUGAUUCAGGUCUUCCUUGGUCAAAGUGGUGGCCUUGAUGUGGAAGGAAAUGAGCUGCCUCGAUUGGUUUAUGUCUCAAGAGAAAAACGGCCAGGCUAUAACCAUCACAAGAAGGCUGGUGCUAUGAAUGCAUUGGUCCGUGUCUCUGCUGUGCUAACGAAUGCUCCAUAUAUGCUUAACUUGGAUUGUGAUCACUAUGUGAACAACAGCAAGGCAGUCAAGGAAGCCAUGUGUUUCAUGAUGGAUCCUCUGGUAGGAAAGAAAGUUUGCUAUGUGCAGUUCCCACAAAGAUUCGACUCCAUUGAUCGUCAUGAUCGAUAUGCUAACAAGAAUGUCGUCUUCUUUGAUAUCAACAUGAAAGGUUUGGAUGGUAUUCAAGGCCCCAUCUAUGUUGGUACUGGAUGUGUCUUUAGAAGGCAGGCGCUGUACGGUUAUGAUGCUCCCAAAACAAAGAAGCCACCGUCAAGGACUUGCAACUGCUGGCCAAAGUGGUGUGUGUGCUGUUUCUGCUUUGGUAACAGGAAGAACAAGAAGAAGGUUACCAAGCCAAAGACAGAGAAGAAGAAGAGGUUGUUUUUCAAGAAGGAAGAAAAUCAAUCACCUGCGUACGCACUCAGUGAAAUUGACGAAGCAGCUGCAGGAGCUGAAACUCAGAAGGCUGGUAUUGUAAACCAACAGAAGUUAGAGAAGAAAUUUGGCCAGUCUGCCAUUUUUGUUGCAUCCACGCUUCUUGAGAAUGGUGGAACCCUGAGGUGUGAUAGUCCAGCUUCUCUUCUGAAGGAAGCUAUACAUGUCAUCGGUUGUGGCUAUGAAGACAAGACAGACUGGGGAAAAGAGAUUGGCUGGAUCUAUGGGUCAGUUACAGAGGAUAUCCUAACUGGGUUUAAGAUGCAUUGCCAUGGCUGGCGGUCGAUUUACUGCAUACCUAAAAGGCCUGCAUUCAAAGGUUCUGCGCCUCUCAAUCUUUCGGAUCGUCUUAACCAGGUUCUUCGGUGGGCUCUUGGGUCUAUUGAGAUCUUCUUCAGCAACCAUUGCCCUCUUUGGUAUGGGUAUGGUGGUGGACUGAAAUUUUUGGAAAGAUUUUCCUACAUCAACUCCAUCGUCUAUCCUUGGACAUCCAUUCCACUUCUGGCCUACUGUACGUUGCCGGCCAUCUGCUUGUUAACGGGAAAGUUCAUCACCCCAGAGCUUAGCAAUCUUGCCAGUAUCUGGUACAUGUCACUUUUCAUCUGCAUUUUUGCUACGGGUAUUCUGGAAAUGAGAUGGGCUCGUGUCGCGGUUGACGAUUGGUGGAGGAAUGAGCAGUUCUGGGUCAUUGGAGGUGUCUCUGCCCAUCUCUUUGCCGUGUUCCAAGGACUUCUCAAGGUGAUAGCUGGUGUGGACACAAGCUUCACCGUCACAACAAAGGCUGGAGAUGAUGAGGAGUUCUCGGAACUGUACACCUUCAAAUGGACAACCUUGCUGAUACCCCCGACCACCUUGCUCCUGCUGAACUUCAUCGGGGUGGUUGCCGGCAUCUCCAACGCGAUCAACAACGGAUAUGAGUCAUGGGGGCCUCUCUUCGGGAAGCUCUUCUUCGCAUUCUGGGUUAUUGUCCAUCUUUACCCGUUCCUCAAGGGUCUUCUUGGAAGGCAGAACAGGACCCCGACGAUCGUCAUCGUCUGGUCCAUCCUGUUGGCUUCGAUCAUCUCGCUCCUGUGGGUGCGUGUGAACCCUUUCCUCGCCAAGACCGACGGCCCUCUUCUGGAGGAGUGCGGUCUGGACUGCACCUAG